UAGUCAUCCAGAGCAAUCAUUUUUUUGGUCAUUGCUUACUCCUGAUCAAAAUAGAAUUCACACACCAGUUGAAUCCUCCUUGUCUCUCUCAUUCAGUUCGAUUCAACAUCCACCGAUUGGAGUCCCACAAUCAGCUGGGUUCGCAAUAGCAUCAUUGCAGCCUAACCUUCUUGUUAGUCAAAACUAUUGGGUGUGGCCUCCCCCUUCCAUAAAGGUUAUCCCCUGACCGAGCGUGUU
This is a long non-coding RNA of Hibiscus syriacus, 237 nucleotides long. RefSeq lists it as uncharacterized. Lineage: Eukaryota; Viridiplantae; Streptophyta; Magnoliopsida; Malvales; Malvaceae. The record is from RefSeq and is a predicted model, not a curated record. The transcript is spliced from 3 exons.